RNAcentral lists this ribosomal RNA (604 nucleotides) under uncultured Ophiocordyceps sinensis. Its description in RNAcentral is "eukaryotic LSU rRNA". The stretch from base 214 to 367 matches the Rfam family "5.8S ribosomal RNA". Lineage: Eukaryota; Fungi; Ascomycota; Sordariomycetes; Hypocreales; Ophiocordycipitaceae. The record is from RNAcentral.
GGAAGUAAAAGUCGUAACAAGGUCUCCGUUGGUGAACCAGCGGAGGGAUCAUUAUCGAGUCACCACUCCCAAACCCCCUGCGAACACCACAGCAGUUGCCUCGGCGGGACCGCCCCGGCGCCCCAGGGCCCGGACCAGGGCGCCCGCCGGAGGACCCCCAGACCCUCCUGUCGCAGUGGCAUCUCUCAGUCAAGAAGCAAGCAAAUGGAUCAAAACUUUCAACAACGGAUCUCUUGGUUCUGGCAUCGAUGAAGAACGCAGCGAAAUGCGAUAAGUAAUGUGAAUUGCAGAAUUCAGUGAACCAUCGAAUCUUUGAACGCACAUUGCGCCCGCCAGCACUCUGGCGGGCAUGCCUGUCCGAGCGUCAUCUCAACCCUCGAGCCCCCCGCCUCGCGGCGGCGGGGCCCGGCCUUGGGGGUCACGGCCCCGCGCCGCCCCCUAAACGCAGUGGCGACCCCGCCGCGGCUCCCCUGCGCAGUAGCUCGCUGAGAACCUCGCACCGGGAGCGCGGAGGCGGUCACGCUGUGAAACCACCACACCCUCCAGUUGACCUCGGAUCAGGUAGGGAUACCCGCUGAACUUAAGCAUAUCAAUAAGCGGAGGA